GCUCUGUGAUGAGAAAUAGCCAAAUCUGAGCACCAAAAAGGCCAGCAGGUCUCUAUAUGUGGUGCAUGAUCUAGAACACUGUUCUGGGA
Small nucleolar RNA from Euleptes europaea (tarantolino), 89 nucleotides. RefSeq annotates it as small nucleolar RNA U2-19. The record is from RefSeq and is a predicted model, not a curated record. Lineage: Eukaryota; Metazoa; Chordata; Lepidosauria; Squamata; Sphaerodactylidae. The transcript has a single exon.